UUGAAUUUCUGUAAGUUAUUUAUAAUAUUCUUUUAUAAUCAAAAUUCUUAUUAAUUUUUUUAAAUUACAUCUGAAAUUUUAAGUAUUGUUCCAACAAAAAAUAUCUUUCCUUUCAAAACUCAAAUUUUUAGUCAAGCAUUUGAUUAUCCAUCAAUAUCUUCAACUUUUGGUUUUUCAUCAAAUCAUCCUUACCUGAUCAUAACCUUAUAAAACCUAACCUUCCACUUGAACUUAGGAGGAGCAAGAGAGCUAGAACUGCAAAGAGUUUCGGUGAAGAAUUUAUCACCUUCAUGAUUGAAGAAACAUCGAUAGUUUAUCAAGAUGCUAUGAGCUCUUCUGAAGCUUUUUUAGAAGGCUAUAAAUGGUGAGAUAGAAUUAAUCAUUGAAAAUAAUAUUUGGAUUCUUACUGAUUUACCUUAUAGAAGCAAAUCUCUUGGAUGUAAGUGGAUCUUUAAGAAAAAAAUUAGAGUGGAUGGAUCUG
Molecule: long non-coding RNA, 481 nt
Filed under: Elaeis guineensis (African oil palm)
Lineage: Eukaryota; Viridiplantae; Streptophyta; Magnoliopsida; Arecales; Arecaceae
Description: long non-coding RNA (EGUI_LNC034054)
Source: RNAcentral